CUACGGGUGGCACCAGUGGGGAAUCUUAGACAAUGGGGGAAACCCUGAUCUAGCCAUGCCGCGUGAGCGACGACGGCCCUAGGGUUGUAAAGCUCUUUCAGCAGGGAAGAUAAUGACGGUACCUGCAGAAGAAGUCCCGGCUAACUCCGUGCCAGCAGCCGCGGUAAUACGGAGGGGACUAGCGUUGUUCGGAAUUACUGGGCGUAAAGCGCGCGUAGGCGGAUUGUUAAGUCGGGGGUGAAAUCCCGGGGCUCAACCCCGGAACUGCCCUCGAUACUGGCAGUCUUGAGUUCGAGAGAGGUGAGUGGAAUUCCGAGUGUAGAGGUGAAAUUCGUAGAUAUUCGGAGGAACACCAGUGGCGAAGGCGGCUCACUGGCUCGAUACUGACGCUGAGGUGCGAAAGCGUGGGGAGCAAACAGGAUUAGAUACCCGGGUAGUC
Molecule: ribosomal RNA, 439 nt
Filed under: uncultured bacterium
Lineage: Bacteria
Description: partial 16S ribosomal RNA
Rfam family: Bacterial small subunit ribosomal RNA
Source: RNAcentral